GACGAACGCUGGCGGCGUGCUUAACACAUGCAAGUCGAACGGAAAGGCCCUGCUUUUGUGGGGUGCUCGAGUGGCGAACGGGUGAGUAACACGUGAGUAACCUGCCCUUGACUUUGGGAUAACUUCAGGAAACUGGGGCUAAUACCGGAUAGGAGCUCCUGCUGCAUGGUGGGGGUUGGAAAGUUUCGGCGGUUGGGGAUGGACUCGCGGCUUAUCAGCUUGUUGGUGGGGUAGUGGCUUACCAAGGCUUUGACGGGUAGCCGGCCUGAGAUGGUGACCGGCCACAUUGGGACUGAGAUACGGCCCAGACUCCUACGGGAGGCAGCAGUGGGGAAUAUUGCACAAUGGGCGGAAGCCUGAUGCAGCAACGCCGCGUGCGGGAUGACGGCCUUCGGGUUGUAAACCGCUUUCGCCUGUGACGAAGCGUGAGUGACGGUAAUGGGUAAAGAAGCACCGGCUAACUACGU
This 467-nucleotide ribosomal RNA is filed under the name uncultured bacterium. RNAcentral's name for it is "partial 16S ribosomal RNA". It matches the Rfam family "Bacterial small subunit ribosomal RNA", at positions 28 to 506 of the family's 1533-position model. The record is from RNAcentral.